Molecule: ribosomal RNA, 434 nt
Filed under: Mantidactylus melanopleura
Lineage: Eukaryota; Metazoa; Chordata; Amphibia; Anura; Mantellidae
Description: partial 16S ribosomal RNA
Rfam family: Bacterial large subunit ribosomal RNA
Source: RNAcentral
GCACCACGAGGGUUAGACUGUCUCCUUUUUCAAAUCAGUGAAAUUAAUCUCCCCGUGAAGAAGCGGGGAUACUCAUAUAAGACGAGAAGACCCCAUGGAGCUUCAAACCCAACUACACCCCUAGCUCUUAUAGCCCCACAACCCCCCUAGGCACCGUGUGCUUGGUUUUAGGUUGGGGCGACCGCGGAGUACAAUAAAACCUCCACAAUGAAUGGGAACACCCCCUUAUCUGAGGGCCACACCCCCUAAGAAUUAGAACACUAACAUAAAAUGAUCCAUUACUUGAUCAAUGAACCAAGUUACCCUGGGGAUAACAGCGCAAUCCAUUUCAAGAGCCCCUAUCGACAAAUGGGUUUACGACCUCGAUGUUGGAUCAGGGUACCCCAGUGGUGCAGCAGCUACUAACGGUUCGUUUGUUCAACGAUUAAAACCCU